UUACUUCGGUAAUGACGUUGGGAAAGCGAGCGGCGGAUGGGUGAGUAACACGUGGGGAACCUGCCCCUAAGUCUGGGAUACCAUUUGGAAACAGGUGCUAAUACCGGAUAAUAAAGCAAAUCGCAUGAUCAGCUUUUGAAAGGCGGCGUAAGCUGUCGCUAAGGGAUGGCCCCGCGGUGCAUUAGCUAGUUGGUAAGGUAACGGCUUACCAAGGCGACGAUGCAUAGCCGAGUUGAGAGACUGAUCGGCCACAUUGGGACUGAGACACGGCCCAAACUCCUACGGGAGGCAGCAGUAGGGAAUCUUCCACAAUGGACGCAAGUCUGAUGGAGCAACGCCGCGUGAGUGAAGAAGGUUUUCGGAUCGUAAAGCUCUGUUGUUGGUGAAGAAGGAUAGAGGUAGUAACUGGCCUUUAUUUGACGGUAAUCAACCAGAAAGUCACGGCUAACUACGUGCCAGCAGCCGCGGUAAUACGUAGGUGGCAAGCGUUGUCCGGAUUUAUUGGGCGUAAAGCGAGCGCAGGCGGAAAAAUAAGUCUAAUGUGAAAGCCCUCGGCUUAACCGAGGAACUGCAUCGGAAACUGUUUUUCUUGAGUGCAGAAGAGGAGAGUGGACUCCAUGUGUAGCGGUGGAAUGCGUAGAUAUAUGGAAGAACACCAGUGGCGAAGGCGGCUCUCUGGUCUGCAACUGACGCUGAGGCUCGA
This 703-nucleotide ribosomal RNA is filed under the name uncultured Bacilli bacterium. Its description in RNAcentral is "bacterial SSU rRNA". It matches the Rfam family "Bacterial small subunit ribosomal RNA", at positions 75 to 756 of the family's 1533-position model. Lineage: Bacteria; Bacillati; Bacillota; Bacilli. The record is from RNAcentral.